Molecule: ribosomal RNA, 392 nt
Filed under: Streptococcus sp. 316221/08
Lineage: Bacteria; Bacillati; Bacillota; Bacilli; Lactobacillales; Streptococcaceae
Description: partial 16S ribosomal RNA
Rfam family: Bacterial small subunit ribosomal RNA
Source: RNAcentral
GCUGGCGGCGUGCCUAAUACAUGCAAGUAGAACGCUGAAGGAGGAGCUUGCUUCUCUGGAUGAGUUGCGAACGGGUGAGUAACGCGUAGGUAACCUGCCUGGUAGCGGGGGAUAACUAUUGGAAACGAUAGCUAAUACCGCAUAAAAUUGAMUAUUGCAUGAUAKUCAMUUAAAAGGUGCAAWUGCAUCACUACCAGAUGGACCUGCGUUGUAUUAGCUAGUUGGUGGGGUAACGGCUCACCAAGGCNACNAUACAUANCCGACCUGAGAGGGUGAUCGGCCACACUGGGACUGAGACACGGCCCAGACUCCUACNGGAGGCAGNAGUAGGGAAUCUUCGGCAANGGACGGAAGUCUGACCGACCACCGCCNCGUGAGUGAAGAAGGUUUUC